Molecule: ribosomal RNA, 253 nt
Filed under: uncultured Longilinea sp.
Lineage: Bacteria; Bacillati; Chloroflexota; Anaerolineae; Anaerolineales; Anaerolineaceae
Description: partial 16S ribosomal RNA
Rfam family: Bacterial small subunit ribosomal RNA
Source: RNAcentral
AACGUAGGAGGCGAGCGUUAUCCGGAUUUACUGGGUGUAAAGCGCGUGCAGGCGGUUAGCUAAGUUGGGUGUGAAAGCUCCUGGCUCAACUGGGAGAGGUCGCUCAAGACUGGCUGACUCGAGGAUGGUAGGGGAAAGUGGAAUUCCGGGUGUAGUGGUGAAAUGCGUAGAUAUCCGGAGGAACACCAGUGGCGAAGGCGGCUUUCUGGACCAUCACUGACGCUCAGACGCGAAAGCCAGGGUAGCAAACGGG